Molecule: ribosomal RNA, 581 nt
Filed under: Sphenophryne schlaginhaufeni (Wandolleck's land frog)
Lineage: Eukaryota; Metazoa; Chordata; Amphibia; Anura; Microhylidae
Description: Liophryne schlaginhaufeni (Wandolleck's land frog) partial 16S ribosomal RNA
Rfam family: Bacterial large subunit ribosomal RNA
Source: RNAcentral
AAAAACAUCGCCUUCUGAUAUUUAUAGAAGGUCUAGCCUGCCCAGUGACAAACUUAAACGGCCGCGGUAUCUUAACCGUGCAAAGGUAGCACAACCACUUGUCCUCUAAAUAGGGACUAGUAUGAACGGCAUCACGAGAAUUAUACUGUCUCCCCCCUUUAAUCAGUGAAACUAAUCUCCUCGUGAAGAAGCGAGGAUAAACAUAUAAGACGAGAAGACCCCAUGGAGCUUCAAACUACAUGUCACUUGCACUCAAUAACAUCAUCUAAUUUCAGCAAGUCUGUCCACUAGUUUUUGGUUGGGGUGACCGCGGAGCAAAACAUAACCUCCAUGAUGAAAAGAAAUAUAUUCUAAUCAAAGAGCUACAACUCGCAGAAUCAAAACAUUGACUUAAAUUGACCCAAUAUUUUUGAACAACGAACCAAGUUACCCUGGGGAUAACAGCGCAAUCCAUUUCAAGAGCCCCUAUCGACAAAUGGGUUUACGACCUCGAUGUUGGAUCAGGGUAUCCCAGUGGUGCACCGCUACUAAAGGUUUGUUUGUUCAACGGUUAAAACCCUACGGGAUCUGAGUUCAGACCG